Molecule: transfer RNA, 74 nt
Filed under: Candidatus Hodgkinia cicadicola
Lineage: Bacteria; Pseudomonadati; Pseudomonadota; Alphaproteobacteria; Hyphomicrobiales
Description: tRNA-Ala
Rfam family: tRNA
About the family: Transfer RNA (tRNA) molecules are approximately 80 nucleotides in length. Their secondary structure includes four short double-helical elements and three loops (D, anti-codon, and T loops).
Source: RNAcentral
GGGGCUAUAAACUUAAUUGGUGGAGCGUUUGUUUUGCAAGCAAGACGUUAGCGGUUCAAAUCCGCUAAGCUCCA